Molecule: ribosomal RNA, 484 nt
Filed under: uncultured bacterium
Lineage: Bacteria
Description: partial 16S ribosomal RNA
Rfam family: Bacterial small subunit ribosomal RNA
Source: RNAcentral
AUUGAACGCUGGCGGCAGGCCUAACACAUGCAAGUCGAGUGGAUGAAGGGAGCUUGCUCCUGGAUUCAGCGGCGGACGGGUGAGUAAUGCCUAGGAAUCUGCCUGGUAGUGGGGGAUAACGUCCUGAAACGGGCGCUAAUACCGCAUACGUCCUGAGGGAGAAAGUGGGGGAUCUUCGGACCUCACGCUAUCAGAUGAGCCUAGGUCGGAUUAGCUAGUUGGUGGGGUAAAGGCCUACCAAGGCGACGAUCCGUAACUGGUCUGAGAGGAUGAUCAGGCACACGGGAAGUGAGACACGGUCCAGACUCCUACGGGAGGCAGCAGUGGGGAAUAUUGGACAAUGGGCGAAAGCCUGAUCCAGCCAUGCCGCGUGUGUGAAGAAGGUCUUCGGAUUGUAAAGCACUUUAAGUUGGGAGGAAGGGCAGUAAGUUAAUACCUUGCUGUUUUGACGUUACCAACAGAAUAAGCACCGGCUAACUUCGUG